GGAUUAUUGCUUGGGGCAAUGACGCAACUAGUGAGGUACUAACUGAUGCACGACUAUUGCUAGUUGAAAACUAUUUCCAGUCCCCUGGCCUGGGUUUUGAGAAUUUCUGGGAGGACUCCCUCCUC
This is a small nuclear RNA of Rhodamnia argentea, 125 nucleotides long. RefSeq annotates it as U4 spliceosomal RNA. The transcript has a single exon. The record is from RefSeq and is a predicted model, not a curated record. Lineage: Eukaryota; Viridiplantae; Streptophyta; Magnoliopsida; Myrtales; Myrtaceae.